CCCGACCAGACUGCAAGCCCCCCAGCCAGGGCUCAUCCUGGUUCACAGCUCUGUCCCGCAGGUCUACAGCGCCUCCCGGCUCAAGAGCUGCCCUGGCAUCUGGCUUUGACCUUAGGAUGGGCGUGACCUUAGGAUGGGCGUGACCUUGGGAAGCCGUGAGAUCUCCC
Molecule: long non-coding RNA, 167 nt
Filed under: Rhinopithecus roxellana (golden snub-nosed monkey)
Lineage: Eukaryota; Metazoa; Chordata; Mammalia; Primates; Cercopithecidae
Description: lncRNA (ENSRROG00000046048.1)
Source: RNAcentral